RNAcentral lists this ribosomal RNA (1389 nucleotides) under uncultured bacterium. RNAcentral describes it as "bacterial SSU rRNA". It matches the Rfam family "Bacterial small subunit ribosomal RNA". The record is from RNAcentral.
UUAGAGUUUGAUCCUGGCUCAGGAUGAACGCUAGCUACGGGCUUAACACAUGCAAGUCGAACGGAUUCUGGAUUCGUCUGGAAUUAGUGGCAAACGGGUGAGUAACACGUAUCCAACCACCCUGCGACUCGGGGAUAGCCUCUUGAAAGGGAGAUUAAUAUCCGAUGUACUGUUUUUGGUGCAUGCCAUUUUCAGUAAAGUUUUUUUACGGUCGCUGACGGGGAUGCGUUCCAUUAGAUAGUCGGUGUGGUAACGGCUCACCGAGUCUAUGAUGGAUAGGGGUUCUGAGAGGAAGGUCCCCCACAUUGGAACUGCGACACGGUCCAAACUCCUACGGGAGGCAGCAGUGAGGAAUAUUGGUCAAUGGGCGAAAGCCUGAACCAGCUAUGUAGCGUGAAGGAUGACUGCCCUAUGGGUUGUAAACUUCUUUUGUUCGGGAAUAACAGACUUCACUUGUGGAGUUUUGCAUGUACCGUUCGAAUAAGGAUCGGCUAACUCCGUGCCAGCAGCCGCGGUAAUACGGAGGAUCCUAGCGUUAUCCGGAAUUAUUGGGUUUAAAGGGUGCGUAGGCGGCCAUUUAAGUCAGCGGUGAAAUUUUGCAGCUUAACUGUAACAGUGCCGUUGAUACUGUUUGGCUAGGAUUUGGUUGUAGUGUGCGGAAUGUGUGGUGUAGCGGUGAAAUGCUUAGAUAUCACACAGAACACCGAUUGCGAAGGCAGCACACUAAGUCAUUAUUGACGCUGAGGCACGAAAGUGUGGGGAUCAAACAGGAUUAGAUACCCUGGUAGUCCACACUGUAAACGAUGAUAACUCGCUGUCGGCGAUACACAGUCGGUGGCCAAGCGAAAGCAUUAAGUUAUCCACCUGGGGAGUACGACCGCAAGGUUGAAACUCAAAGGAAUUGACGGGGACCCGCACAAGCAGCGGAGCAUGUGGUUUAAUUCGAAGCAACGCGAAGAACCUUACCAAGGCUUGACAUCCCCUUGACAGAUGCAGAGAUGUGUCCUCUCCUUCGGGAGCAAGGGAGACAGGUGGUGCAUGGUUGUCGUCAGCUCGUGCCGUGAGGUGUCGGGUUAAGUCCCAUAACGAGCGCAACCCUCGUCGAUAGUUGCCAGCAUGUAAUGAUGGGGACUCUAUCGAGACUGCCGGUGUAAACCGUGAGGAAGGUGGGGAGGACGUCAAAUCAGCACGGCCCUUACGUCCAGGGCUACACACGUGUUACAAUGGUCGGUACAGUGGGCAGCUACUCAGCGAUGAGAUGCUAAUCCCAAAAACCAUUCUCAGUUCGGAUCGAAGUCUGCAACUCGACUUCGUGAAGCUGGAUUCGCUAGUAAUCGCGCAUCAGCCACGGCGCGGUGAAUACGUUCCCGGGCCUUGCACUCACCGCCC